RNAcentral lists this long non-coding RNA (774 nucleotides) under Mytilus galloprovincialis (Mediterranean mussel). The record is from RNAcentral. Lineage: Eukaryota; Metazoa; Mollusca; Bivalvia; Mytilida; Mytilidae.
UUUUUAUUUACUAUUAAUGAUAUAUUGAACUAUAAAAUUGUCAAUUGACUGUGUGUAAACAUCUGUUUUUGCUUGCAUUGUAUAUGAGGGCCCAAGUGUUAUUGUGACUAUCUGUGUCAAUCCUCUUUAAAUAAUUAAUUAUUAUUAUUUUUAUAACUGUUGAUGCAAUUUCAUGUUUCCUACAAUUUUCCAUUACUUUAAACAUAUUGUAGUUUGAUCUUGAACUAACCUCUCUAAUAUUAAAUAUAGGUAUAACCUAUUCAUACAACUUUCACUCUAACUGCUUCCUGUGUCAUUAUCAUCUGGUUCAGAGUAAAUCUCUGGUAUAUUAUUCAGUAUCAUAAAAACCCUCAUCAGUUCAUUUCUUUCAGCCUGAUUUAAAAAAUCAUAAAAAAAGCUAACAUAAAUUUGAGCUUUAUCUUCUGGGUCCAAAGGUUCAUUCCUUUCAAUUUUCUCAUAAUGACUUCUUGAUAUGACCAACAUGGUGAUUGACACCUGAAAUGAAGCAAACAUUUAGAACAUGAAUAACUAGAAACUAGAGGCUCUAAAGAGCCUGUGUCGCUCACCUUGGUCUUGUGCAUAUUAAACAAUGGACACGGAUAAAUUCAUGACAUAAUUGUGUUUUGGUGAUAGUGAUGUGUUUGUAGAUCUUACUUUACUGAACAUUCUUGUUGCUACAAUUAUCUCUAUCUAUAAUGAACUUGGCCCAGUAAUUACAGUGGAAAAUAUUUUCUAAAAAUUAACAAAAAUUUAUGAAAAAUGUUAAAAAUUAAC